RNAcentral lists this ribosomal RNA (372 nucleotides) under uncultured prokaryote. RNAcentral's name for it is "bacterial SSU rRNA". It matches the Rfam family "Bacterial small subunit ribosomal RNA", at positions 524 to 896 of the family's 1533-position model. The record is from RNAcentral.
UACGUAGGGUGCGAGCGUUAAUCGGAAUUACUGGGCGUAAAGCGUGCGCAGGCGGUUAUAUAAGACAGAUGUGAAAUCCCCGGGCUCAACCUGGGGCCUGCAUUUUUGACUGUAUAGCUCAAAGACGGUAAAGGGGGAUGGAAUUCCGCGUGUAGCAGUGAAAUGCGUAGAUAUGCGGAGGAACACCGAUGGCGAAGGCAAUCCCCUGGACCUGUACUGACGCUCAUGCACGAAAGCGUGGGGAGCAAACAGGAUUAGAUACCCUGGUAGUCCACGCCCUAAACGAUGUCAACUGGUUGUUGGGUCUUCACUGACUCAGUAACGAAGCUAACGCGUGAAGUUGACCGCCUGGGGAGUACGGCCGCAAGGUUG